This 494-nucleotide ribosomal RNA is filed under the name uncultured bacterium. RNAcentral describes it as "partial 16S ribosomal RNA". It matches the Rfam family "Bacterial small subunit ribosomal RNA", at positions 28 to 507 of the family's 1533-position model. The record is from RNAcentral.
GACGAACGCUGGCGGCGUGCUUAACACAUGCAAGUCGAACGGUGAAGCGCCUUCCUUUUUGGUGGGUGUGGAUGAGUGGCGAACGGGUGAGUAACACGUGAGUAACCUGCCCCCUUCUUCUGGAUAACCGCAUGAAAGUGUGGCUAAUACGGGAUAUUCUGGGUCUGUCGCAUGAUGGGUCUGGGAAAGAUAUUGUUUCGGUGGGGGAUGGGCUCGCGGCCUAUCAGCUUGUUGGUGGGGGGAUGGCCUACCAAGGCGGUGACGGGUGGCCGGCCUGAGAGGGUGUACGGUCACACUGGGACUGCGACACGGCCCAGACUCCUACGGGAGGCAGCGGUGGGGAAUAUUGCACAAUGGGCGCAAGCCUGAUGCAGCGCCGCCGCGUGAGGGAUGGAGGCCUGCGGGUUGUGAACCUCUUUCGCCAGUGAAGCAGGCCUGCCUCGUUUGUGGGUGGGUUGACGGUAGCUGGAUAAGAAGCGCCGGCUAACUACGUG